UUUCYCCCGSCGUMURRRUUUUWWWWUUUCWGCWCAGGACGAACGCUGCGGCGUGCCUAAUACAUGCAAGUCGAGCGGACAGAAGGGAGCUUGCUCCCGGAUGUUAGCGGCGGACGGGUGAGUAACACGUGGGUAACCUGCCUGUAAGACUGGGAUAACUCCGGGAAACCGGAGCUAAUACCGGAUAGUUCCUUGAACCGCAUGGUUCAAGGAUGAAAGACGGUUUCGKCUGUCACUUACAGAUGGACCCGCGGCGCAUUAGCUAGUUGGUGAGGUAACKGCUCACCAAGGCGACGAUGCGUAGCCGACCUGAGAGGGUGAUCGGCCACACUGGGACUGAGACACGGCCCAGACUCCUACGGGAGGCAGCAGUAGGGAAUCUUCCGCAAUGGACGAAAGUCUGACGGAGCAACGCCGCGUGAGUGAUGAAGGUUUUCGGAUCGUAAAGCUCUGUUGUUAGGGAAGAACAAGUGCAAGAGUAACUGCUUGCACCUUGACGGUACCUAACCAGAAAGCCACGGCUAACUACGUGCCAGCAGCCGCGGUAAUACGUAGGUGGCAAGCGUUGUCCGGAAUUAUUGGGCGUAAAGGGCUCGCAGGCGGUUUCUUAAGUCUGAUGUGAAAGCCCCCGGCUCAACCGGGGAGGGUCAUUGGAAACUGGGAAACUUGAGUGCAGAAGAGGAGAGUGGAAUUCCACGUGUAGCGGUGAAAUGCGUAGAGAUGUGGAGGAACACCAGUGGCGAAGGCGACUCUCUGGUCUGUAACUGACGCUGAGGAGCGAAAGCGUGGGGAGCGAACAGGAUUAGAUACCCUGGUAGUCCACGCCGUAAACGAUGAGUGCUAAGUGUUAGGGGGUUUCCGCCCCUUAGUGCUGCAGCUAACGCAWUAAGCACUCCGCC
This 899-nucleotide ribosomal RNA is filed under the name Bacillus sp. (in: firmicutes). Its description in RNAcentral is "bacterial SSU rRNA". It matches the Rfam family "Bacterial small subunit ribosomal RNA", at positions 1 to 873 of the family's 1533-position model. The record is from RNAcentral. Lineage: Bacteria; Bacillati; Bacillota; Bacilli; Caryophanales; Bacillaceae.